Molecule: ribosomal RNA, 258 nt
Filed under: uncultured bacterium
Lineage: Bacteria
Description: partial 16S ribosomal RNA
Rfam family: Bacterial small subunit ribosomal RNA
Source: RNAcentral
CUUGCUUUCUUUGCUGGCGACCGGCGCACGGGUGAGUAACACGUAUCCAACCUGCCCUUUACUCGGGGAUAGCCUUUCGAAAGAAAGAUUAAUACCCGAUAGCAUAAUGAUUCCGCAUGGUUUCAUUAUUAAAGGAUUCCGGUAAAGGAUGGGGAUGCGUUCCAUUAGGUUGUUGGUGAGGUAACGGCCCACCAAGCCUUCGAUGGAUAGGGGUUCUGAGAGGAAGGUCCCCCACAUUGGAACCGAGACACGGUCCAA